RNAcentral lists this long non-coding RNA (874 nucleotides) under Salmo salar (Atlantic salmon). Its description in RNAcentral is "lncRNA (ENSSSAG00000118340.1)". The record is from RNAcentral. Lineage: Eukaryota; Metazoa; Chordata; Actinopteri; Salmoniformes; Salmonidae.
GAAGGAUGAAGGGUAGCAGGAGGAGGAGGAAGGUAACAUGAGGAGGAAGAGGAAGGUAACAUGAGGAGAAUGAUGAAGGGUAACAGGAGGAGAAGGAUGAAGGGUAGCAGGAGGAGGAGGAUGAAGGUAACAUGAGGAGAAGGAGGAAGGUAACAUGAAGAGAAGGAUGAAGGUAACAUGAGGAGAAGGAUGAAGGUAACAUGAGGAGAAGGAGGAAGGGUAACAGGAGGAGAAGGAUGAAGGGUAGCAGGAGGAGGAGGAUGAAGGUAACAUGAGGAGAAGGAGGAAGGUAACAUGAAGAGAAGGAUGAAGGUAACAUGAGGAGAAGGAUGAAGGUAACAUGAGGAGAAGGAUGAAGGUAAAACGAGGAGAAGGAUGAAGGUAACAUGAGGAGAAGGAUGAAGGUAACAUGAGGAGAAGGAUGAAGGUAACAUGAGGAGAAGGAUGAAGGGUAACAGGAGGAGGAGGAUGAAGGUAACAUGCGGAGAAGGAUGAAGGUAACAUGAGGAGAAGGAUGAAGGUAACAUGAGGAGAAGGAUGAAGGGUAGCAGGAGGAGGAGGAAGGUAACAUGAGGAGAAGGAUGAAGGUAAAAUGAGGAGAAGGAUGAAGGUAACAUGAGGAGAAGGAUGAAGGGUAACAGGAGGAGGAGGAGGAAGGUAACAUGCGGAGAAGGAUGAAUGUAAAACGAGGAGAAGGAUGAAGGUAACAUGAGGAGAAGGAUGAAGGUAAUAUGAGGAGAAGGAUGAAGGGUAACAGGAGGAGGAGGAUGAAGGUAACAUGAGGAGAAGGAUGAAGGUAACAUGAGGAGAAGGAUGAAGUUAACAUGAGGAGACACCACUCAUAACCAUUCAUUUCUCAAAGGAACAUUUAGUA